UGUUUGUUGGCUUGCAGAUCUUGUUCGUGUUUCAGGAAGGACUGUAUGUUCAGCAGAGUGUAUGUGAGAGCAGGACGCUUUGCUGUGGUGAUGUGUCUGUGUUUUGGAGUGUGUCCAUGUCCAACUGUAAUAUACUUAUCUUUAUUGAUGUGCUUUAUGAUGGGUGGAUUGCAGAUCUGACAGGUUCUUUCUAUGCAUUUGUGAAGCUGCACCAGGCUCGGCACUAGACGACCCCAGUCCUGACAGUAACCCUAGAACAACCCCAACAUUCAGCAGGGGCUGGCUCCUGCUCCCUUCAUUCAUACUAAUUUGUGCUUUACCCCAUGACUGGUUUGCCUGAAGCUGCUGGGAAUACUUGUGAAGUGUGCAACACAAAUGCAGGACAAGCAAGGCUUGAAAAACGCAGGCAAAAAUUAGAGCUGUGCAGUGUUGGAACUCAGCAGUGUUUUCCACUGGGAAAAUGACGUUCUUGUGACACAGGGUGUCUCUCUUUUUCUUGAUUAAAAAUCUGAACUUUUCUUUGUGAAAGAUGGUAUUUGGAAGUUUCUGUUGAAACUGAAAAAUGAUUAAGUUUUUCAGUAUGGAUUUAAGAUUUUUUUUUAAGAACAACCUAGAAAAAGUAUCCCUCUUCUUCUCUCCAAAUCAAGGAAAUCAAAGUUACAAGUGAAAUGAGAUUUUUGACAGAAGCAAGAACGUUUUUUAACAUUUUUAUUAACUAGAAUUAGCACUAGUAUUAUUCUUGUUUCCCUUGUGUUAGUACUAAUACAGGUAUCUGCUUGUGCACUUAGGCUUAAUGUAGAACAGUCUGCCUUUCUGAGGGCAUUUGAUCUUAGUUGGGUAUGUGAGAAUUUGGGGUCCUGCUGUACCUGUGACAUUGUCAGUGCUAAAUACAGCUGUGCAAAAGCACUGAAAAAGAUGGGGUGAACCUUUAGCUGUGUUUGCGUUGAACACUAUAUGUGACCACGUGGGGAGAAGACACAUCCAUGUGGAUAUGGUGUUAGUCCUUCACAGAGAGGAGGUCUGGAAGGUGAUAGUCCUGCUUCUUGGCAGCUGCUGAAUGACUUACACAAUGAAGUUUCUUUCCAGCACAGCGAGAGAAGAAGGAAAGCUUCCAAAUGCUUCUUAUGCAGCUGAUUGACAUCAAAAUGCAGGCUGAGGGUUCAUAUCUGAGCCUCUUGGAACAAUGAUAUUCCUGAGGAAAACUUGAUCCAGAUGGAUCCAGUUGCCCAAAUAGACACAGGAAUGUAUGAAGCACAGGAUCUACCUGGAUGUCUGUGUUUAUUAAGCCUGCAUCCACAGGAGAGUGUCUUACUGGCUGAGCAGUGUGUAUCAUGCCUCAAGGGUCUGCGUUUGCAUGUGUUAAUCAGUCUGGGUGGGUUUGUCUGGGUAUACCUGUGACACGUGUGCUUAAGCAGUGUGGGUGCAAGCAGUGUUGUUGGUUUAGUAGCUGGCAUGCAGAUCUGGGAGAAUCAUAGUAUCACAGAAUGGUUGAUGUGGGAAGGGGAACUUCUUGUCCAACCCCACUUCUCAAGCAGGGCCACCCAGAGUCAGUUGCCCAGGACCAUACUCAGGCAUCCCUCCUGGUCUUCCUGGCUGUAGUUGCAACCACAAGGAAAGUUACAAGGCUCAGUUAGGCAGCACUGGCCCUGUCAGUAAAUAAUUGUGCAGUUCAGGCUUCAGUUUGGGAUUUUUUUUUUUCCGCUGGAUUUGACUCCAUAGAGAAUCAGCCAGACUGUGCUGAGCUGGUCCCAUCUGCACCCAACCUGGAGAGCAGCUUUAUCUUGCCUUGUAAAACUGCAGAGCUCUGUGACAAAAGAGUUAAUCUCUGCCUUUGUUUCUCUUCCACUCUCUCUUCUCUCUUGCAGUGGGACUGAAAGGCAAGAUGAGAGCAGAUCCAUCAGUGUCAGCUGCUUUCAGCACAUCAGCACUUUUGGGGGGUUUAUUGGGGACUAGCCCAUCAGCAGUGCUUCCAAACUGCAAACAUGCUGCAGACAGGCCCCUCCUCCCAUGCAGCAGCCAGGCUGCCUGGGGAAGGAGCGAAGGGACCCCAGUGCCACUGGCUAGGGACUGGGUGAUAAAUGACUGCAUAAGGCAUCUCCAUGGCUAGUAAAGUCCAGAGGGUAGGCCAGAGCCAAGCUUCUGGAGAGGCAGCAGUGAAACCAUGUUAAUUCCUGGGCUUGCAUCCAUGUGUGUCUGUGUGUCUGUACUGUCUGAAAUAAUACACUUGACACAAACACACAUGCUUAGCUUCCAGCACACACAGUAACAUGGAAGAGGGGUGAAAGAGAGAAAAUAACCUGAUUGACAGGUUAAUGAAGCAGUUCAUAACAGCAAAGUAUAUUAUAACCUUAGAAACAGCUUGUAAAUACCCAGUUGCUUUACAUGUAUAAACAUACUUCCCUGCCUAGCUCUGCGUAUAUACAUUUGCCAAUAUAUGAAAUGUACGUGCCUGUUUA
This is a long non-coding RNA of Pezoporus flaviventris, 2456 nucleotides long. RefSeq lists it as uncharacterized. The record is from RefSeq and is a predicted model, not a curated record. The transcript has 2 exons. Lineage: Eukaryota; Metazoa; Chordata; Aves; Psittaciformes; Psittacidae.